GAUUCCUUUCUGAUCCCGCACUUCCGCCUUCUGGACAAAAACAAUAGUUUGCUAAUGGCUGUCAGUUUCAAUGUCGACUUUAUUUACAUUUCCAGUCCAAACCCCAGAGGCACAUUAAGUCUAUUUAUUUAUUGUUCAUGAUUUUUUCUUUAUUAGUAUUAGAUCGUACGAACGGUUCGCUUAUAUUUUUUGCAGAAUUAUCAGAGAAUUCUAAACGUUAGCUAGUUAGCUAGCUAGCUGAUUUAACCCGACUAUAGAGUUGUUUGUUUUUAUUUGUUUUUAAAUCACUGUAUUAUUUAGGAAAACAAUCUCAAACAUUUUGGGAUUUUUUUGUCAUGGAAUUGCUUAGUAUAUAUUGUAGUAAAAAACGCAAGUGUCUAAAAUAGUGAUUUAAAUGGGUUAACGAAUGGUAACUGCGCAUGCGCGUGGUUGGCUGGCCUGUCACGUUUUCCUUUUCCUGGUAGGAUCUGAUCUAAUCUGAUCUGGUGCAACAUCCAGGACGCUCCAUGGCUCUGCGCAGGUUGUUGAGGAGGCGCUGGGUCCUGGGGGUCGUAUUCGGUUUCUCCCUUAUUUACUUCCUCACCAGCACACUCAAGCAGGAAGAGCGAAGCAUGCGAGAUCGGACUCUGCUGGAGGCCAGGGAAUCCGAUCACCCCAUCGCCUGGAAGGUCAAGUUCAACCUGGGCAACAGCAGCAGGCAGAUCACCCAGUGCAGGAACUCCAUCCAGGGGAAGAGUCUCCUCACUGACGAACUUGGUUACGUGUGUGAGAGGAAGGACCUGCUAGUGAACGGCUGCUGUAACGUGAACGCACCGCGCUCCGGCCAGUACAUGUGUAAGAGCUGUCUGCCCAACGGCUGCUGCAGCGUCUACGAAUACUGUGUCUCCUGCUGCCUUCAGCCUGACAAGCAACCUCUACUGGAACGAUUUUUGAACCGAGCCGCUGAAGGAUUUCGGAAUCUCUUCACAGCAGUAGAGGAUCACUUUGAGCUGUGUUUGGCGAAAUGCCGCACCUCCUCACAGAUCAGACCCCUAUCAGACCCCGAUCAGACCCCGAAGUUCGUGUUAUUGGACACAUUGUGUUUGUAAGAAGAAAAAAAAAAAUUGCACCCUCCAGAUGCCAUCAUCUCAACAGCAACCUAUUAUACACAAGAUUUGCAGUGCAUUAUGGGCCGUACUCCCUAGCCAGUGCACAACAAACGAGUGUCCAGCACGAGAACACGUACAGAAACCCCCAGGCGAAAUACUGCUACGGUGAGAGCCCACCCGAGCUCCAGCCCAUCUGAUGGAGGAAAGUAUUUUCAUAAAAAUGACACUACCUCUCUUCUCCUCCGCUCAAGAGAACUAACCGGUCCGGAAACCGACCGCGUCAGCAUGAAGACGUAAAGCAGCACCGGGGGGAACGAAGGACAAAACUUGGUCGCUUCCAAGGAGCUGCCCUUAACCUCAUCUGUUCCUGUCAUCUACAUGAUAUUUUGGGUUUCGUGCCACAGAAAUAGGAGUUCCUAUGGCUCCCAGAUAUACAUUGCUUUAACAGGAAAUGCAUCACCGAACUGAUGUCAGACGUUGAGGUCAGCCACAGAUGUACGCAAUCUGUCUGGAGUAACACGUGGGUGCAAAAACUAUUGCCUCAGCGGUAGGUAGCAAACGACUCGAUCGAAGAGUCCAAGGAUCAGAUCGUUCAUGUCAAUCAUGUCCAGUGCUAUGUAUUAAAGCCGAGUGUUAAUUUAAUAAAAGGCAUUUCUUUUA
This is an RNA transcript of Tachysurus fulvidraco (yellow catfish), 1748 nucleotides long. It is a transcript of the gene named SREBF pathway regulator in golgi 1, with no coding region annotated. The transcript has 6 exons. The record is from RefSeq and is a predicted model, not a curated record. Lineage: Eukaryota; Metazoa; Chordata; Actinopteri; Siluriformes; Bagridae.